CCUACGGGUGGCAGCAGUAGGGAAUCUUUCACAAUGGGCGAAAGCCUGAUGGAGCAACGCCGCGUGCAGGAUGAAGGCCUUCGGGUUGUAAACUGCUUUUAUAAGCGAGAAAUAUGAUGGUAACUUAUGAAUAAGGAUCGGCUAACUACGUGCCAGCAGCCGCGGUCAUACGUAGGAUCCGAGCAUUAACCGGAGUGACUGGGUGUAAAGAGUUGCGUAGGUGGCAUAAUAAGUAGCUAGUGAAAUCUGGUGGCUCAACCAUUCAGACUAUUGGCUAAACUGUUAAGCUCGAGACCGUUAGGGGUAACUGGAAUUUCUAGUGUAGGAGUGAAAUCCGUAGAUAUUAGAAGGAACACCGAUAGCGUAGGCAGGUUGCUGGGACGGUUCUGACACUAAGGCACGAAAGCGUAGGGAGCAAACGGGAUUAGAUACCCCUGUAGUC
RNAcentral lists this ribosomal RNA (442 nucleotides) under uncultured bacterium. Its description in RNAcentral is "partial 16S ribosomal RNA". It matches the Rfam family "Bacterial small subunit ribosomal RNA", at positions 338 to 795 of the family's 1533-position model. The record is from RNAcentral.